This 497-nucleotide ribosomal RNA is filed under the name uncultured bacterium. RNAcentral describes it as "partial 16S ribosomal RNA". It matches the Rfam family "Bacterial small subunit ribosomal RNA", at positions 28 to 507 of the family's 1533-position model. The record is from RNAcentral.
GAUGAACGCUGGCGGCGUGCCUAAUACAUGCAAGUCGAGCGAACAGACGAGGAGCUUGCUCCUCUGACGUUAGCGGCGGACGGGUGAGUAACACGUGGAUAACCUACCUAUAAGACUGGGAUAACUUCGGGAAACCGGAGCUAAUACCGGAUAAUAUAUUGAACCGCAUGGUUCAAUAGUGAAAGACGGUUUUGCUGUCACUUAUAGAUGGAUCCGCGCCGCAUUAGCUAGUUGGUAAGGUAACGGCUUACCAAGGCAACGAUGCGUAGCCGACCUGAGAGGGUGGUCGGCCCCACUGGAACUGGGACACGGCCCAGACUCCUACGGGAGGCAGCAGUAGGGAAUCUUCCGCAAUGGGCGAAAGCCUGACGGAGCAACGCCGCGUGAGUUAUGAAGGUCUUCGGAUCGUAAAACUCUGUUAUUAGGGAAGAACAAAUGUGUAAGUAACUAUGCACGUCUUGACGGUACCUAAUCAGAAAGCCACGGCUAACUACGUG